Molecule: ribosomal RNA, 253 nt
Filed under: uncultured bacterium
Lineage: Bacteria
Description: partial 16S ribosomal RNA
Rfam family: Bacterial small subunit ribosomal RNA
Source: RNAcentral
GACAGAGGGUGCAAACGUUGUUCGGAAUUACUGGGCGUAAAGCGUGUGUAGGCGGCUUUGCAAGUCAGGUGUGAAAUCCCCGGGCUCAACCUGGGAAGUGCACUUGAAACUGCAGAGCUUGAGUAUCGGAGAGGUUGGUGGAAUUCUCGGUGGAGAGGUGAAAUUCGUAGAUAUCGAGGGGAACACCAGUGGCGAAGGCGGCCAACUGGACGAAUACUGACGCUGAGACACGAAAGCGUGGGGAGCAAACAGG